Molecule: ribosomal RNA, 338 nt
Filed under: uncultured bacterium
Lineage: Bacteria
Description: bacterial SSU rRNA
Rfam family: Bacterial small subunit ribosomal RNA
Source: RNAcentral
AUUGAACGCUGGCGGAAUGCUUUACACAUGCAAGUCGAACGGUAGAGGGGGGCAACCCCUUGAGAGUGGCGAACGGGUGAGUAAUAUAUCGGAACGUGCCCAGUCGUGGGGAUAACGUAGCGAAAGUUACGCUAAUACCGCAUACGAUCUAAGGAUGAAAGCGGGGGAUCGCAAGACCUCGCGCGAUUGGAGCGGCCGAUAUCAGAUUAGGUAGUUGGUGAGGUAAAGGCUCACCAAGCCAACGAUCUGUAGCUGGUCUGAGAGGACGACCAGCCACACUGGAACUGAGACACGGUCCAGACUCCUACGGGNGGCAGCAGUGGGGAAUUUUGGACAAU